Molecule: long non-coding RNA, 2504 nt
Organism: Oreochromis aureus
Lineage: Eukaryota; Metazoa; Chordata; Actinopteri; Cichliformes; Cichlidae
Source: Ensembl
GUGUGUGUGUGUGUGUGUGUGUGUGUGUGUGUGUGUGUGUGUGUGUGUGUGUGUGUGUGCAGUGUGUGUGUGUGUGUGUGUGUGUGUGUGUGUGUGUGUGUGUGUGUGUGUGUGUGUGUGUGUGUGUGUGUGUGUGUGUGUGCUGUGUGUGCAGUGUGUGUGUGUGUGUGUGUGUGUGUGUGCAGUGUGUGUGUGUGACCUCAUCAUUGAGAGAAGUUCCUGUUUUGUUAAGAAGGAACAGAAACAGCAUUAAACCAUCAGAGCCUCAAGAUGAAAGCUUGUCACACUCUGGUCUGCUUCAUCAUCCUUACAGCACAGCAGGAUGGUCGUGUCAAUGCAGAAACAGCCAGUCACAGAAAAAUGGAAGGAGAAGACAUCACACUUGAAUGCAGGUUCUAUAUCCGUGGAAGCAGGAGGCUCUUCUGUAAAGAAGAAUGUGAAAAGGGAAACAUUCUGAUUAGUACAACUGCUGACACAUUUCAGAGUGGCAGAUACAGCAUUCAAUAUGUCAAAAAAGGUGUUUCACAUACUAUGUAUGUGAAGAUCACACAGCUGAAACAGUCUGACUCAGGACGGUACAAGUGUACUUUGGACAGCACUUUGAAACCAGAUUAUUUUGAGAUAAUUGUCAUAGAAGCUGUAAAAACUUUAACAGCAGGCUCUACUCCAAAAGCUUUUUCAUCAUCAACCUUUCUCCUAUCAACCUCAACAACAGCAACAACAACAGCAGCAACAACAACACAAAGUUUCAACUUCAGUUUAGAAAGCUCUACAUCUUCAUCCUCCUCCACUGAAAUCCUGAACCAUCCUGAGACACCUGCAGGUCCAGGACCUCCUGUAGAAACAGAAUACGCCAAUAUCACACAGAAUAACCGAGUGUGUGAAGAGAUAAGAGACGGCAGUUCACCUCCUGUGGAAGUGUCUUCAGCUGAUGCCUAUCCCAAAACCUGCCAGCGAGCUGGAGUUGAAAACCUUGAACUUUACAGCCUCAUCACCUAUUCUCAGAGUAAAGCUGAAAAUGACACAGAUGAAGUUGAUUACACUGAAGUGGAUUUUUCCCACAUGUCUGUAACCAACAGCGCCCUCUGUGGUAAAUCAGGUGAUGUUGUCUACUCCACACCUCAGAUACAUGCUAGCCCCAGGAACCAUGUUAAAGAUGCUUCACCUCCUCUGUACUCUAUAAAACCAAAACUGAAAAACUAAAAAAAAGGGAACACCUGAAGAGUCUUGCACUGUCACUGCAAAGAGAAUAGAGGUUGCUGAGGGGCAUAACAAAGUGUUUGAGAAGUGUUUUUUCACAAAUGAUUCAAAGUUUAACUUGGAAGCCACAGCGAAUGCAGUGUGAAACAAAAGACUUCACGUGAUGUGAUGAUGGAAGAGAAUAUUUAUGUUUUAUUUACACUGUGUAUGCAGUAAAUUUUAUCCGACUGGAUGUUUAGUUUUUUGGAACGAAGCUUGUUCACGGUAAAAGCUGUUUAUGUUGUUUUGUACUGACAGUAGCUGAAAGUACUUUAUGAAUAGUUAUUAUAGAGUAAACAAGGAUGCAUUUCUCUUAGCUACUGCAUUUGAAAAACGACCUAUACUGUCUUCUUUCAGUUUGGUUCUGUAUUCUUAUUUCACUGUUCUUAUUUCAUAGGAAACAUAUUGUACAGUGGGCUGAAUUCAAAAGCCAGUUUAUCUGAUGGAUUAUGUUCACUGUGUAAAAAAUAAUGUAAAUCUAAAAUAUGCAGUCAUUGUCAUCACAAUCUUUUUGUUAUAAAACCUGUGGUGAGUUAUAAAUAUUUUUGAUAAUACAGAGUAUUGAUGUUGACCUUUGUUUCCCUCUGGUGGCUACUUUUAACCUUGCACAGUACACGGUACUUUAAUGAAUGUUACACUAUGUUCCUGACCUUUUGCCUCCUACUAAAGGCCUCUAGUGCAAAAGAGGAUUUCCUGUACUACAAAGUUUCACUUCUUACCAGCGUAUAUCACCAUGGUAACCGGUAUUAAACCUAACCUGCCCUGGAGCAGGUUAUCUUCUAUUGGAGCUGAUCAGAUAUGAAAUAAUUCCCUAACGACCAGUCAGUUCAACAGAUAUUGGUUUCACUGGUGCUGAAAGACCCCUCAGACCUCUGUGUGUGGAUAUUAAAGAGUGUUAAGUUUACCAGUACACAUUUUUUAAAUAUCCUCUUUCCCUAAUGACUAUACCUAUUUUAAUCCCCCCACUGGUUACAAACAAUUUUAUGUAUUUAUUUACUUUUUGUUUUUGUGGACUUCAGGAAUGUAUUGAGAGGUGUCCGUCUUUAAAACAGGAAGCUGAUGACUCAGCUAAAGGUUGAGUUAUCUGUCAUCUUAUGUUCUUCUGCAUUUCAUUUUGAAUUCUGUUUUAUUUUAAUCCUUGCUCUCAGACAGUUGAAGACCACCAACACUGCAGCUGAAAAAAAUAAAACUAUUUGAAAUAUGAAUAUAUCUAAAUACUCAAUUUUAUUCCAAUUUUCUAGUCUUUACUUAAUCUUUAUUUUUGC